UGGAUAGUUACAGACAUGCCUUUCUUGGACGUGCAGAAAAGGUUCAGCAUUAACCUAGAUCGGUGGUGGACAAUCUAAAGUGCUGAACAGCCCUACAAGUUUCCUGCUCGAUGCCAUGCUUUUGAAAAAGAAUGGAUAGAACGUGCACAUGGAAUCGGUACUAUCCGGGCAGAGAAAGAGUGCAAGAUAGAAUAUGAUGAUUUCAUAGAGUGUAUACUUCGGACAAAAACAAUGAAACGUAUGGAUACCAUCUGGAGGCAACGGGAAAAACUGAUGAAGGAAGGGAAGUACACCCCUCCACCUCACCACAUGGGCAAGGGGGAGCCUCGGCCCUGAGCAGACACAGCUACUGAUAUCUGGAAGCUGAGUUUCAUGUUCUCUGUUCUCCACUGGAAAGGUUGUUUAUGGAAAACCUCCUUGUCAAAGUGUGGAAAAAUAAAGUAUUGCUCCAUCCUAAAAAAAAAAAAAAAAAAAAACAACAAAAA
This is a non-coding RNA of Callithrix jacchus (white-tufted-ear marmoset), 485 nucleotides long. NCBI's taxonomy places the organism in Eukaryota, Metazoa, Chordata, Mammalia, Primates, Cebidae. The record is from RefSeq and is a predicted model, not a curated record.